Gopherus flavomarginatus (Mexican gopher tortoise) is the source of this 1936-nucleotide long non-coding RNA. RefSeq lists it as uncharacterized. Lineage: Eukaryota; Metazoa; Chordata; Testudines; Testudinidae. The record is from RefSeq and is a predicted model, not a curated record. The transcript is spliced from 2 exons.
AGUUCCUCUCACUCCUUUAACAAUCUGGUGACCCUUUCUUCCUACAUACCAAAACUUGAAAAACUAUGUCUACCUCCAAGAGCAGAAGCUUAAAAAAUUGUACUUCCAAGAAGUGUUCUUAAAAUCCAGUUUGUCAUCAGACACCUGAAAUGUGGUCUGUUCUUACAGGUGGAAAAAUUGUGGCAGGGAUUGUGUUUUGGGGUCUUGAACUCUAAUUUAAUGCAAUUAAAUCCAGGAUGCAUAUCUAGUAUUUUAUCUUGAGCACCACUGACAUCUUCCUUUUUAGAAAGCUCCGGGGCUGCAGCUUUUUAUUUCAUCACAACUAUUCUGUUAGAAUGUUAUCUGGCAGCUUAUUUUCAGUACCUUGCUCAGUGGUACAAAGGUCAUUUUAUGCUAAUGUUCUAGUAGAAAUGGAGGAUAUUAAACUAGCGGCUGUUGCUUCUGAGAAGGACUUGGCUUUGUUCACCAAUUAUUUUUAUGCACAAUUCCUUUAAAUGAUAUUCCAGAAAUAUUAAAAAUGACUUUUUUCCAGUCAUGGCCACUUAUAUGAAAAUCUACACUAGCUAAAGGGGAUAUGUAGGGAUUUAUAGAAUUUACAACUUAAGACAACAGAAACUGUGUGCAUGCAUAUAAACUCUCUAUAUAGUAUGCAUGCAUAUCAUCAGCUUAAAUAUUUUUGUAUUUUAUUUGAACUAAAAGAAAAUGCUGAUAUCCUGUUUCCAGGAUUUUGCUUACAUGAUAUGAUAUUAUAAUGCUUAUAAAUAGGCAGAAUGGCAGAAGAUGUGGUGAAGGAGAAGUAGACAAAUAUUGGCUACGGCAAACAUAGGUCUUGGCUGAAGCCUACUUAGAAAGGGCACUCUUCCCUACACUGUUUCAGCAGGGAAAUGAAUGUAAAUAGUUCUAUAUUAAAGGAACUGAGAUGAGGGCUUUGCAAGCAAGUUAGAUCCACAUCAUCAUGUAUGUACUUCCAACUGUCUUCAAAUUUUAUACCUAUCUUAUUCUAGUCAGAUUAAAUAAUACACAUUUAAAAUAUGCUGAUUUUUUAAAAUAUUUUUAAAAAUUUAAACCAAAUAAGAGAUUUUUCACUGUGGAUGCAUGUGUUUAUGAUGUUCUGCAUUUCCAGAACCAAAUAAAUUGCUACAGAAGACUCUGAAAAUAACAUAAAUCAGUGGAAGUCAAGGAAUGAAAAGAGUAGAAAGCAAAACUCUGGCCCAAUGACAAUUUUUAGAAUUAUGAAGCAGCACAUGCUAAUUUGCUGCAUCAAGCAUAUGACUUUUUUGGUUUUGCAGCUUUAUUUUAUCCCCUUUAUUCAAACUGUAUGUUAGACGUGUAAUUUUACUGAGCUGCAUGUGCAGCAGUUAUAUCCUCAUAAUGAAGAUGGGGCUGGGACAAAAUCUAAUGGGAUAGAGAUACCAACAAGCUCAGAUAUCAUGGUAAUAAGCAUGGCAUGAAACCCAGACAGAAUAGAAUAGAAAUAAUCUUCACUAAAUGCAGUAUAAGAAAGUUUUUGAAAAAAAGAUUUCUGCUAAAAUGUUGCUGCUUAACCAAGAAAUUGAUACCCAAUUUGGAAAGCGUUAACGUCAUACUAGAAUGCUAAAAUAACUAGUUAAAUCUUUUAUGGAGAGAGCACUACUAGAGAGAAAUUGCAAAUCAUUCAAGCUCUCAUUUUUUACUAUAUACAAAACCCCAGAACUAAGUUGGUUAUUUUAACUCCUCUUAUUAUUUGCUCAGAUAUCUAGUAUAAAAAGGGGUUCUAAACUCCUAGUCUGUCUUCAUUUGGUUUAAUUCAUAUAGGAAGGAACUUUUGUGGCUUGCCAUGUAGACUUCUUAACUGUUUUACUUUGCAAACAUUUUUCUUUUUUUAUACAUCCUCUGUACUCUUCUGAAGUAAAAGAAAAUUCUGACUAUGAAAUAAAUCUCUACUAUUCUUACAGUU